AUGGGGGACAUUGCCAAGGACUUGACAGCCGGAACCGUCGGAGGGAUCGCCAAUCUGGUUGUUGGGCACCCAUUUGACACCAUCAAGGUCAAGCUCCAGAGCCAGCCCAGCCCUGCUCCAGGCCAGCUUCCUAAGUAUGCCGGCGCCUUUGAUGCUGUCAAGCAAACGGUUGCGGCUGAAGGGCCAAGGGGACUCUACAAGGGGAUGGGGGCUCCUCUCGCUACUGUUGCAGCCUUUAACGCUCUCCUGUUCACUGUGAGGGGCCAGAUGGAGACUCUCUUGAGAUCGGAGCCUGGGGCGCCAUUGACGGUAAAACAGCAGGUUGUCGCUGGUGCUGGUGCUGGGCUUGCAGUCUCCUUCCUGGCAUGCCCAACCGAGCUGAUCAAGUGCAGGUUGCAGGCCCAGAGCUCUUUAGCUGAAGCAGGUGCUGUCUCCGGCGUGGCGCUACCCAAAGGGCCAAUGGAUGUGGCUAGGCAUGUCAUGAGGAACGCUGGCGUCAAAGGUCUGUUCAAGGGCAUUGUCCCAACAAUGGGCCGUGAGAUCCCCGGCAACGCCAUAAUGUUUGGCGUGUACGAGGCCGUUAAGCAGUACAUGGCCGGCGGUCGGGACACGUCUGGCCUCGGCCAGGGCUCUCUCAUCCUUGCCGGUGGCCUCGCCGGAGGAGCUCUGUGGCUCACGGUGUACCCAACCGACGUCGUGAAGAGCGUGAUCCAGGUGGACGACUACAAGAAGCCGAGGUACUCGGGGUCGAUCGACGCUCUCAAGAAGAUCGUCGCGGCCGACGGGGUCAAGGGCCUGUACAAGGGGUUCGGCCCCGCCAUGGCCCGCAGCGUCCCGGCAAAUGCCGCCACCUUCGUGGCCUACGAGAUCACGCGGUCGGCCAUGGGCUGA
Molecule: ribosomal RNA, 891 nt
Filed under: Triticum aestivum (bread wheat)
Lineage: Eukaryota; Viridiplantae; Streptophyta; Magnoliopsida; Poales; Poaceae
Description: partial small subunit ribosomal RNA
Source: RNAcentral